This 403-nucleotide ribosomal RNA is filed under the name Asterionellopsis glacialis. RNAcentral's name for it is "partial Bacterial small subunit ribosomal RNA". It matches the Rfam family "Bacterial small subunit ribosomal RNA", at positions 502 to 904 of the family's 1533-position model. The record is from RNAcentral. Lineage: Eukaryota; Bacillariophyta; Plagiogrammaphyceae; Rhaphoneidales; Asterionellopsidaceae.
UCUGUGCCAGCAGCCGCGGUAAUACAGAGGGUGCAAGCGUUAAUCGGAAUUACUGGGCGUAAAGCGCACGCAGGCGGUUUGUUAAGCUAGAUGUGAAAGCCCCGGGCUCAACCUGGGAUGGUCAUUUAGAACUGGCAGACUAGAGUCUUGGAGAGGGGAGUGGAAUUCCAGGUGUAGCGGUGAAAUGCGUAGAUAUCUGGAGGAACAUCAGUGGCGAAGGCGACUCCCUGGCCAAAGACUGACGCUCAUGUGCGAAAGUGUGGGGAGCGAACAGGAUUAGAUACCCUGGUAGUCCACACCGUAAACGCUGUCUACUAGCUGUUUGUGACUUUAAGUCGUGAGUAGCGAAGCUAACGCGCUAAGUAGACCGCCUGGGGAGUACGGCCGCAAGGUUAAAACUCAA